This 403-nucleotide ribosomal RNA is filed under the name uncultured bacterium. RNAcentral describes it as "partial 16S ribosomal RNA". It matches the Rfam family "Bacterial small subunit ribosomal RNA", at positions 28 to 526 of the family's 1533-position model. The record is from RNAcentral.
GACGAACGCUGGCGGCAGGCCUAACACAUGCAAGUCGAGCGAGCGGCGGACGGGUGAGUAAUGUAUGGGGACUGCCCGAUAGAGGGGGAUAACUACUGGAAACGGUGGCUAAUACCGCAUACUAUCGGAUAACCCAUAUGGGAUUAGCUAGUAGGAGGGGUAAAGGCUCACCAAGGCGACGAUCACGAGCUGGUCUGAGAGGAUUAUCAGCCACACUGGAACUGCGACACGGUCCAGACUCCUACGGAGGCAGCAGUGGGGAAUAUUGCACAAUGGGCGCAAGCCUGAUGCAGCCAUGCCGCGUGUAUGAAGAAGGCCUUAGGGUUGUAAAGUACUUUAAGCGGGGAGGUGUUACCCGCAGAAGAAGCACCGGCUAACUCCGUGCCAGUAGCCGCGGUAAUAC